RNAcentral lists this ribosomal RNA (460 nucleotides) under uncultured bacterium. Its description in RNAcentral is "partial 16S ribosomal RNA". It matches the Rfam family "Bacterial small subunit ribosomal RNA", at positions 338 to 795 of the family's 1533-position model. The record is from RNAcentral.
CCUACGGGAGGCAGCAGUGAGGAAUAUUGGUCAAUGGACGAGAGUCUGAACCAGCCAAGUAGCGUGAAGGAUGACUGCCCUAUGGGUUGUAAACUUCUUUUAUAUGGGAAUAACAUGUUCCACGUGUGGGCUUUUGUAUGUACCCUAUGAAUAAGGAUCGGCCAACUCCGUGCCAGCAGCCGCGGUAAUACGGAGGAUCCGAGCGUUAUCCGGAUUUAUUGGGUUUAAAGGGAGCGUAGGUGGAUUGUUAAGUUAGUUGUGAAAGUUUGCGGCUCAACCGUAAAAUUGUAGUUGAAACUGGCAGUCUUGAGUACAGUAGAGGUGGGCGGAAUUCGUGGUGUAGCGGUGAAAUGCUUAGAUAUCACGAAGAACUCCGAUUGCGAAGGCAGCUCACUGGACUGCAACUGACACUGAGGCUCGAAAGUGUGGGUAUCAAACAGGAUUAGAUACCCCAGUAGUC